This 439-nucleotide ribosomal RNA is filed under the name uncultured bacterium. Its description in RNAcentral is "partial 16S ribosomal RNA". It matches the Rfam family "Bacterial small subunit ribosomal RNA", at positions 338 to 795 of the family's 1533-position model. The record is from RNAcentral.
CCUACGGGGGCUGCAGUGGGGGAUAUUGCACAAUGGGGGGAACCCUGAUGCAGCGACGCCGCGUGGGUGAAGAAGCGCCUCGGCGCGUAAAGCCCUGUCAGCAGGGAAGAAAAUGACGGUAUCUGAAGAAGAAGCCCCGGUUAACUACGUGCCAGCAGCCGCGGUAAUACGGAGGGGGCAAGCGUUAUCCGGAUUUACUGGGUGUAAAGGGGGCGCAGACGGCGGUGCAAGCCAGGAGUGAAAACCCGGGGGCCAACCCCGGGACUGCUCUUGGAACUGCGUGGCUGGAGUGCAGGAGGGGCAGGCGGAAUUCCUGGUGUAGCGGUGAAAUGCGUAGAUAUCAGGAGGAACACCGGUGGCGAAGGCAGCCUGCUGGACUGCAACUGACGUUGAGGCACGAAAGCGUGGGGAGCGAACAGGAUUAGAUACCCCGGUAGUC